UUGACCUCGGAUCAGGUAGGGAUACCCGCUGAACUUAAGCAUAUCAAUAAGCGGAGGAAAAGAAACCAACCGGGAUUGCCUCAGUAACGGCGAGUGAAGCGGCAAGAGCUCAAAUUUGAAAUCUGGCCCCCUCGGGGUCCGAGUUGUAAUUUGCAGAGGAUGCUUCGGGUGCGGCCCC
RNAcentral lists this ribosomal RNA (178 nucleotides) under Aspergillus sclerotiorum. RNAcentral's name for it is "partial 28S ribosomal RNA". It matches the Rfam family "Eukaryotic large subunit ribosomal RNA", at positions 1 to 177 of the family's 3401-position model. The record is from RNAcentral. Lineage: Eukaryota; Fungi; Ascomycota; Eurotiomycetes; Eurotiales; Aspergillaceae. RNAcentral also lists the same sequence under 1 other name.